GACGAACGCUGGCGGCGUGCUUAACACAUGCAAGUCGAACGGAAAGGCCCUGCUUGCAGGGUGCUCGAGUGGCGAACGGGUAAGUAACACGUGGGUGAUCUGCCCCUUACUUUGGGAUAAGCCUGGGAAACUGGGUCUAAUACUGGAUAGGACCAUGCUGUAGGUGGUGUGGUGGAAAGAUUAGUUUCGGUAAGGGAUGAGCUCGCGGCCUAUCAGCUUGUUGGUGGGGUAAUGGCCUACCAAGGCGUCGACGGGUAGCCGGCCUGAGAGGGUGGACGGCCACAUUGGGACUGAGAUACGGCCCAGGCUCCUACGGGAGGCAGCAGUGGGGAAUAUUGCACAAUGAGCGCAAGCCCGAUGCGGCGACGCCGCGUGGGGGAUUACGGCCUUCGGGUUGUAAACUCCUUUCAGCCAUGACGAAGCCCUUGUGGUGACGGUAGUGGUAGGAGAAGCACCGGCUAACUACGUG
RNAcentral lists this ribosomal RNA (469 nucleotides) under uncultured bacterium. Its description in RNAcentral is "partial 16S ribosomal RNA". It matches the Rfam family "Bacterial small subunit ribosomal RNA", at positions 28 to 507 of the family's 1533-position model. The record is from RNAcentral.